Molecule: long non-coding RNA, 4306 nt
Filed under: Anas platyrhynchos (mallard)
Lineage: Eukaryota; Metazoa; Chordata; Aves; Anseriformes; Anatidae
Description: lncRNA (ENSAPLG00020017674.1)
Source: RNAcentral
UCUAAUUUCAGAGCAUCAGUCAUUCCCCCCCCAGCUUCUUCCUCCUCCUCUUCAUCGUCAUCUUCGCAAUCUUAAAAAGUGAGAAAGGAAAAAAGAAUGACAUGCUGCAGGGCUUCAGCAAGGGGAGCAAGCACAGGGGGAUUCAGUAAGGGAUGUUAGCUUGUGGAGAAUUCCAUGUAAGCUUACUUUACAGGGCUGCAAGGACAAAACAUGACCUCCUCAGUCUGAGGUAACAGUUUUUGCUGGUUUUUACUCUUCCCCUCCCUCCCCUCAAGUCCCCUCACUAAAAAGCAAUGGAUUAACCUGGCUAAAUAAAGAAAUAAAUAAAAGCCCAAUAACAUGACUAGUCUUGCAAGAGAUUAAAAGGACAGACAGCAGAAAAACAACAGGUUACUACAAUGCCAAGAUAUGUCAGUAUACCGCUGAACAUGGAGCUUAAAAAUAAGAUUAUCAGGUAUCCAACUUUUCUUCUGUUUAUUAGACACUCCAGAAAACAAGGCACAGCAACACACUUGCCCCCAGACGAACAAGCUAAGGAGUUCACAGAACUCCCCAUCACUAUGUUCAUUUUCAAGCAAACUGCCACAAACACACCUUUUGUAAGUGAAAAAAUUUUCAUUGCUGUAAUUCCAACUUUUUUUUCUACUCAUGCUGGGGCUCCACCACCGUCAGUCACUCCCGCUGCCUGUAAUUACACCGUUUUUGGUAGUGGAUAGUCCUCAAACAUACAAAUGCUAUAAACAGCUAGAAACCGGGGAAUGUUCAUGUUUUUUACUGUAGGUUCUGGGCACCAGUCUACAGAGCAGCAUGGAUUUACGUUUCAUGGUUACUUUCUGGAAGGAAAACUUUCAUCUUGCUCCUCCUUCAAUUGUUAAAAAAAAAUCUCUGUUGUGCACAUUAACAGCCCUUACCUUCUAAUUCUUCAUCUUCACUUUCUUCUUUGUCCUCCUCACCUCCCUCUUCCUCAGAGUCAUCUUCCUCCUCACUCCCGGUGUCAUCUUCUGAUUCACAGCUGUUCCCACCGUUGCUUUCUAAGAAAGAAAAAAGAAGAGGGGGAUUUGAAACAAGUACAGCACCAGAAUUCCUGCUCAGGAUGUUACAUAGGAAGCGAAACCCCAAAUUUCCUCGUGAGCUUCUCAGUAGCGUCAAAGCCAGCAGCUCGGAGCAACUCAGAAGAAGCACGCCAGCAGUUUGAGAUGCAGUGCUUAGAAAUAAAACAUUUUUAAGGCAAAGAGAAAAAUGGUCACAAUACAGCUUCACUUCUUUUGGAAGGUUUAAAAAAAAGAAUCAUGUUCUCAGACCUCCAACUGGAAAGGUGGAGGCACCGAGAGCCCGCAGGUUACCUGUUUCACUGAGGAGUGCCAGACUCUGCCUUUUGCCCUUGCCCAGCGCGGCGUUCUUGUUUAUCAGCUCAUCCUGGCUGUCAUCAUCCAUGGCAGGACAUUGGGAAUCCGCUCCCUGCAAGAAGGCAGACAGCAGGUGAGGCAACACAGCACCUAAGCAAUCGCAGAGGGUAUUGCUACCACACAAGUGCUGAGUGACACUUGGUUCUUUUUAUUUUUCUUCUGGUUCGAUCUACAACAAUGGAGGUCUGGCUUUGUGCUGCUGGAAAGCAGCUCUUACAGGAGGAGAAAGAAAACCCAUUUAGUUUUCCCAGUUUCUCCUGAAACCAUCUUCUUGUGCAACUCAUUGCAGGGGAAAAAAAUUCAGCUUAUUCUUGGAUGACCAAAAAAAGCACAGCCAGACCUCCCCACUAAAGGCAGGAGAAGAAAACCUGCCAACACCAAAACCAUCCUGCAUACUAGCUGUAAGGAGCAGCAUCGAAAGGGGCCAGAGGUCAGCCUGCCCUUCGGAUGAGGGCUGACGGGAUGAAAAGUAGAGGUUUCAAAUCAAGACACUUCAUCCUGCUCAAUUCCAACGAAACAAGAACAAAGAGGAUGCGUUUUAGGUCUUUUUCUACAAAGGCCUUUUCACAGCUCCAUCGUGAAAUAGGAGAGCCUCAGAGCACAGCAACCGCAGCAAAGAGGCCACUUCAUUGGGCGCAUAUUAAUGCAAUCAAAUUAAUUGCAGUGCAUUAGCAGACUGGCAAUAAAACUGGCAGAUACCGAGAUGGCUCCUGAUCCAAAUCCAUACCGACGACCAAACCACAUCUUUCAAGCACGCGGUGCUACAAAGCGUCAGGGAAGGAGGAUCGCUGCUCCAUAAACAAGCCGUGGCUGAACACAGUUAAGGGACACUCACAAAGCUUGCUGUCAUAACUCAGCAAGGAGGAGAAAUUGGAUUCUUCUGCAAACGUGGCAAAGAAGUUUCGGGUGCUCUUCUCCCCCUCUCCCUGCUCUGCAUUAUGCAGCUUACAUAUUAAAGUCAUUUUUGGAACAAAACAUUAUGUUUUAUUCAAGCUCUCGAAGCACAUCCUCGCUCGUUCACUCCCUUUUUUGAGCCACGUAGCACAGCUCUGCACUUAAGAGCCCUAAAAAUGCAGCCUUUGCUAAGGCAGGCUGAGUUGUAAACGCAGCCUUCGCUGCUCAGGAAAAAAGGCUAAAAAGAUCAAGCUCCAGGACAAGCGGGUUCCUGGUCAGGAUUUCUCCUAACUUUGGUGAGAAUCUUGCCUAAGCAGAGGAUUAAACUAUCUGAAUUCGUGGCUGUUCACAGGAGCGCGGAAAAAUGGUUUUCGUUGGCUGAAAACACGCAGACUCAUCAAAAGGCAGGCGCUGCAACGUACCCAAACCAAACUGGGAAGAACCACUGGUUUCCACCAGGAACGCGCCAGUUCCAGCACUGCGCACGGAUGAAUUAUUCAGAGCGAAGCCGCUUACAUAAGAACCUCCCAAAUGGGAGCUCACGAAGCUGGAGCUGGGGAGCAGCACAAUUUCACGAGGGGUGACUUGUGUUUGUCCCAAACCUCCUCAUCUGGCAGGAGGUGGGAACGCCUCUGUGACCCCACCACUACAUUCAAGCAGCCACGGAUCUCCCCAGCCCCCGAGGAGCUGGCAAAACCCAAUGGGGUUUGCCUGAAGGUCUGGGCAGUAAAAAACAGAAAUCUGAUUUGUGGAGAGUUUGAAACAGGUAAGGAGGAGCCAGGCAAAGGUGAAGGUAAAGAUCUCACCGCGUGAACAAACUUCUCAAAUCUGAGCUGCUCUCAAGGAAAAGGGAAGCGAGGCGGGCUGUGCUCUCCAUACGAUGGCUCGUCCUCCUGUUCCUUGAGGACAACAAGCAGCACUUCCCAGUUUUUCUUCUCAGGGGAGACGUGUCAGCAUUUAUGGCACACGUCAGGGCUGCCCAACCCGUACAAAAGCACAGCUGUCACCCCUGGUCCCUAUCCUCCCUCCACCCCGCCAGGAGCUGGGAGCAGCAGAUAGCAAACAGAACGAUUCUUCCUGAAAAGAAAGUUGCUGGAGAAGGAGGUUGUGCUCAUCCCCUUGAGGCCACCCUCAGCUGCACACCUCCAACACAGGGCCAGGAUGUGUUGGAGCACCACCCUAUUUCCAAGGCAAUGCAAGCACUUCCCUUGAGCUGCGUUAGCAAUUUGUUUGAACGUUUCCUCUAGAAGAGGGGGUUGUCAGAGAAGCACCCUGGCUUUCUAAAACCCCACGGACUGCCACAAAUGGGGAUUCUGACCGGCUGGGAGCACGCCGCAGCCAGGAGGGAAGGGCUAGAUUAGAGGCAGGAGAUCUGCUGGGCAAGGCGUUUGUUUUAACCUGCGGGAGGGGCACUGGGGACAGGGCCCAGGCAGAGAAGGAGCCAGCUGGGUCUCCUCACUGAAUGCUGAUCUAAUUUCAGGGGUAAUUAUUGCUCAGCCUUGUUCCGGAGAGCACUUGUAACUACAGCGAAGGCUACCAAAUAUUCCAGCAUGCACUCGCACUGCCAUAGCCGCUUUGUUAUUACCAUCAUUCCCCCUCCCCAGUGCACCCUUUUCUGUCUCAAACUGGCAGAUGCCACACACCUGGAAUCGAAGCCAAACGCUCACAAACUCACCUGCUACAUUGAAAAAAAAAAAGAUUUGUAAAGGAUGUUUUUAUACACAGGGUGCGUGGUGCACCUGGCACCUGCCGGGACGUUAAGAGGGGCUGUGCAGGCACCGCAGGCACCUCAACGAGCGCCCUACAGCCCAGUGCCAGCCUAACGCGCCCGGGAAGCUUUACCAAAAUCCCUCCGGGCCUGAAUCUCGCUCAGCCUUUCCCCCGUGUGCGUUACAGAAGCGUUUAACUCCCAAAGCCCGGUACCGAAACGCUGCGGGGGCUUCCACCGCUCGGAGCCCUGAGGAACCGACCUGAAAAACCGACCGCGGGGCGGCCGCGCUCACCCC